GACGAACGCUGGCGGCGUGCUUAACACAUGCAAGUCGAACGCUGAAGCACCAGCUUGCUGGUGUGGAUGAGUGGCGAACGGGUGAGUAAUACGUGAGUAACCUGCCCUUGACUCUGGGAUAAGCCCGGGAAACUGGGUCUAAUACUGGAUGCUACAUGUCACCGCAUGGUGGUGUGUGGAAAGGGUUUACUGGUCUUGGAUGGGCUCACGGCCUAUCAGCUUGUUGGUGAGGUAAUGGCUCACCAAGGCGACGACGGGUAGCCGGCCUGAGAGGGUGACCGGCCACACUGGGACUGAGACACGGCCCAGACUCCUACGGGAGGCAGCAGGGGGGAAGAUUGCACAAUGGGCGAAAGCCUGAUGCAGCGACGCCGCGUGAGGGAUGACGGCCUUCGGGUUGGAAACCUCUUUCAGCAGGGAAGAAGCCACAAGUGACGGUACCUGCAGAAGAAGCGCCGGCUAACUACGUG
RNAcentral lists this ribosomal RNA (470 nucleotides) under uncultured bacterium. RNAcentral describes it as "partial 16S ribosomal RNA". It matches the Rfam family "Bacterial small subunit ribosomal RNA", at positions 28 to 507 of the family's 1533-position model. The record is from RNAcentral.